Molecule: long non-coding RNA, 553 nt
Organism: Lontra canadensis (Northern American river otter)
Lineage: Eukaryota; Metazoa; Chordata; Mammalia; Carnivora; Mustelidae
Exons: 2
Source: RefSeq, a predicted model, not a curated record
UCACCUUCAUCCUGCCUUCUGGCUGUUCCCGUGCUUGGAGCCAGUGCUUCUCAAACUUUGGGGAGAUGAGGACCAGGUAAAGGUCACCCGUUGGCAGACUGCCCUUUUAGGAGUACCGGUUAAGGGUAAGCUGCAAUGUGAGAAGACGGACUUGAAUAAAAUGUAUGAGAGAGUAUUGUCAGCUCUGAAGCUUAAUAACAGGUAGCUCUGGGUGGUGGUGUUGACUCUUCGUGGACACCAGUAUUGCUCCCACAUGAUCUUAAAGAUGAACUCAAACCCCACCUUCUCUGUGCUGUCUUCUUACACUCCCUCAAGCGCUGUGUUGUUCUUCCCUGUGCCUCGCAUGGUAUCAGAAGGUCUACGUUGCUACUCCCAUGCAUGGUCUACUCCCAUGAAUGGGAGUCUCUCUUCCUCAGCUGCCAUGAUUUUUAUUCUCUUUCUGUGGAUAGAAGCAAAUGGAUGGGUCAGUAUGAGCCUGUCUAGAGAUUUCUGUUGACAGAUCCUUUAAGAAGGAAAAAAUAGAAGUGGAUGGAACUAGAGGGUAUUAUGCUCA